UCAUUGGGGAGAAAAAAAGCUCAUCCAGCUUUACUAAUCACUUCCACCAGCUCUUCGUAUGCUUGAGAGCUGCUCUCGGAUUUUAUCACAUUUUUCUGGCUCCUCAGAAUCCGAGAGAGAAUUAUGUAGUUAUUUAUUUUAUGUUUUUGGCUUUCCAUAGCAGAAGGAGGAGGCGCGACGCGAGCUCCAAAAUCCGGCGGAGAGCGGGACCCGGAAGACAGAAAGAGAUCGGGCAGCGGUCGCCUCCAGCUCCUCUUCCAGGUCCAUACGGGCUCCCCAGGACAUGAGACGGCUGGCUACCUCGGCAGCGGCCGGCCCAGAUCCCCGAGGCUCUGACAUCCAACUCGCUUCGGCCGAAAAGAGAGCGAGUCGCGAGCGGAGCUGCUUAAUUGUAAGACGACCUUUCGAGGGCUACCGUUGCGUUCUCCACUCUUAAACACUUCACACUUAAACACUUCAUCAUCACCCCCCCGGUGACGAAACGGGAACGAAGCGUAACACAGAGUCCAUAUCUAAGGCUAUGGGACAUUAACGCUAGUUAUCUUUGAAGAAAUCUUCAAUUGAAAAGAACUCUACGUUUCAGUUGACUUCUUGACUUCAGUCUUCUGAUGCAGUUUGCAAAUAAGUUUGAAAGACCGCAAGUCUGCAAGAAAAAUUAAAACGGAAGUAGACUCGGAGAUGGCUAACCUCAAUUUGCACUGUUGUAUAGAGCUGACACAGGGUGAGGAGAACCUGGGUCCGGCUGAAACAGGAAGCAGCGAUGUUACUGAUGUUACUACAUUUCCUCAAGAAGGAACUGAAACCGCAGUAUAUAUUCAACAUUAAGCACAACAUUGACUCAACAGUUGUCAGUUUGGGUUUUCUCAAGAAAUCUGUAGUGAUGAAUGGAUUUCAAGCAACUGUAGGCAUAACCUGGACGAGUGAAGAAGAAAUGAGCUCAAAAGAAAAGCUUUGAAUACGUCAUGGUUCCACCUCUAUAUUUAUACAUAUUGGAACACACACAAAAUAGGAAAAUGCUUGCGUUGACCGUCCAGUGAGGAUUAUUCCCAGGAAAUUAGGACUGGAAAGUAUGACAAUUCUCAGAGCUCAUUACAGGGCCGAAAUACAACCCAGUUAUGGCAACACUUUGAGAGGAUGUUUUAUGCCUAGAGCUGAGCAGUGGGCCAGAUGACGUGAAGAUAGACAUCUUAGACAACUUAAACCUGUGAACUGUUAACUGAAUCUUCAGCACUUACAAUGUAGGGCCUUGCCAUGUCCAUGUUACAGUGUCCUGAGGAACAGAGGAAAAAGUAAACAUAUUAGUAACAAAAAACAUCUGUAAACAAAGUAGCAAAACACACAUUCUCAUGUGUGAUGAUCCUCGAUGGUCUAAUUGUAGUGUGUGAUUUUGAGUCCACACACUCACACUGGCUGAAGUGUAAUCUGGUUGAUGGUAAAUGAUUUUUAUUAAAGGGAGUAAUAAUGCAUAACGUCAUUUUUUGUAAACAUAUGUAGAGAAAAUAGAUAUUGAAGAUACUCGAAUGAUAUUGUAAGUGAUGUGAGGACAGACAACUCCAGAACUAGCUGAAAUCUUGACGUAUAGAUUUUUUUUUUUUUUGUUGAUGGCGCAAUCUAUAUAUCAUAAUUAUAGAUAUACCAGAUGAUUGCCUCAAGCAGUUGAUUUCCUCUUAUUAGCUAACACUUUAAUAACAACCAUAAGUUUCAAUUCUGCUUUGUUAGUUGACGAUGCUAUUGAGCCACUCACCAGUUUAUUGGGGUAUCUGAUAAGCACUGGCUGUACAGGGACCCCUGGUAAAAAAGCACCUGAAAACAAGUGACAAGUGACAAAGCUUUCUCUCUCUCUCUCUCUCCAUUCUUAUUUUCAAACCACUCACACCCAUUGAACACCCUGUGUAAACACAAGGGUACAAAACACACCAUAGUUUAACCCUGCCCUUACUGCAGUGCUGUCACUAAAUACGAGUUCAAAUUCUGUGCUGCUCUGGUAAAUGUGUGUCAGAAGUAUCUAUUGAUCAGACUGUGCCCUAGAUUAUGGUGUCCUAUUAAUCCUGCUCUGUAGCAUGAUCUCAUUUAAUCAAUCAAAAAUCUGUAGUUUAGAUGGCCUCAGGCAAAACUGAUUCAGUAUAAGCAUUUUGAACCGACGGUCUGCAAUGUUUAAGUAAUCGAAAAUAUGAUUAAGUAAAAUUAAUAUCUAUAUAUGCUGUUCUGUAUAGUGUAAAGGAAGGACACAUCUGGUACAAAACAAAAGUCUCAACUAAAAGAUCUGUUCCUGUUUUACCUUCUUCUGCAAGCAAAGUUGCAUUACAUACAUUCAAUUCAGUUACUCCAAAGGAACAUUCUCAUAGUACUGUAUAUAGACUGCAACCGCUUGUGUAAACUGAUCCUUCCUCGAUCUAUCUAUCGCAUAUAACAAUGCUUAGACCAAAACCCAUUACAAAAUAUAAAUACAUAAUUGAAAUUAAGAGUGUGCCCUUGUACCUUGUUUGAAAGUAAUGAGACAGGAUCUGUUUGUACACGUUCCUUCUGGGAAAAUCAGCAACUGAAAAAUAUUGAACAAAAAGUCUGUGGAUUUAGAAGGACCUGUCAUGUGUAAUCAUUUUUGCUUAUAUUUUAAUCAAUCCGAGUGUGGUAAACCAGACACACUGUAUAUUUUCAUACUAACAAUUCUUUGAGUUACACAAAUGAACUAGAGCUAUCACUGAAAAGCCAUGCAUUAUUUCUUAUACAGGAAGUAGGGUUUUCCAAAGUAAUUUCAAAGCAAUUUCCUGUUUUGUAACACACAGCCUUUCUUCAAACAGGGGAUUUCAAUGUCUACGAAAUUAGUAACCUCAUACUGCAUCUUACUCUUUCACGUCUUAGAAAAUAUAAAUAAAUAUAUAAUAUAAAUAUAAAACAGUAGCAUGCCAGGCAUGGGUUUAUUCUGACCUGUGGCCAGCGGCCUUCAGACUUGGCGCGGUUGGUGAUGUUUGUGAUUGUUUGUUUGCGUGAGUCUGGGUCUUCCCGUGAGACGACAACAGGCUGCUGG
Ictalurus punctatus (channel catfish) is the source of this 3025-nucleotide long non-coding RNA. RefSeq lists it as uncharacterized. The record is from RefSeq and is a predicted model, not a curated record. Lineage: Eukaryota; Metazoa; Chordata; Actinopteri; Siluriformes; Ictaluridae. The transcript is spliced from 2 exons.